AUGGAUUUAUUGUGGAGGACUUAAGGAAGAAAAAGGAUUAACGGCUAGGGUUUUCUUUUUCUUUUUGCUUAAUUUUUCCGUUAAUUUUAAUAUGUCAUAUGACAUAUAUUUAUAAUGAGAAAACCCUAACGUAAUCCUAAUCGAAUUCCUAUUCCGAUUAGAUUAUCCAUUAACCCACAAGUUGGUUAUGUACCGUCCUUGCUAUCGUCGCGGAAGGCCGUAGAGGUGGUAGAGAAGGGUCGGAGAGAAAAAAAAAUAGAGAGUCGCAAUGCAGCCUCGACGGGGUCGGAGGUGAGGACGGCGGGGGGUGUGUGGACGAGGGCGAGGGCGUGAGUGGUAGAGGUGAGGCAGGUCGUUUCCGCCUCUGCCUCCUCUGUCUUCUUCGGAGAGAAAAAAAAGAACGCGAGAACAAAAAAGGAGAGAGAAAAAUGUAUAAGGAUAUUUUGGUCAGUUUGCUGAAAAUUCGGACUGAAUUUGCAAAAUCGAAAAAGACGGCCCAGUUUUGCAAAAGGUCAAAACUUAUGAUUUUUUUAUACAAAUUGGUCAAAAAAAAUUGCCAAACAAUUUUACAAAAUAACUUCCAAAAAAUUUCUUUUUAUCUAAACUCAGCUAAAUGCUGUACAACUUUUAACCAAAAUUACUUCUCUAAUUUAAAUUUUUUUUUUCAGAAAUCACUUUUUUGAGAAUUUUGGCCAAACUGGCCUUUAGGUGCUACUA
RNAcentral lists this long non-coding RNA (717 nucleotides) under Ananas comosus (pineapple). RNAcentral's name for it is "long non-coding RNA (ACOM_LNC030496)". Lineage: Eukaryota; Viridiplantae; Streptophyta; Magnoliopsida; Poales; Bromeliaceae. The record is from RNAcentral.